Molecule: long non-coding RNA, 494 nt
Organism: Cyprinus carpio (common carp)
Lineage: Eukaryota; Metazoa; Chordata; Actinopteri; Cypriniformes; Cyprinidae
Exons: 3
Source: RefSeq, a predicted model, not a curated record
GCGUUUGGCGCAUGCGCACUUUCAGUUUCCAAAUCAAUGGACAGGGCGAAGACGGGACCAGGGUAAUUUUGUCGAAAUCAUCUUGUUAUAUGUUCACAGAAGUUUCCUUAAUAUGUAUAGACGUUUGUUGUCCGUAGGCAGCAAGUUCUGCAGAAUGUGGUACCCCUGUGACGCGCAAAGAUGUGGCGGUCCUGAGGCGCAUAUUUGGUGUCCAGAAUAUUGAAAAGGACAUCAUAUGUGUGGACAACCGCAGGAUUUAUCACCUCAACCACAUCCACAGGAAGAAGAACCAGCCCACAGAGCUGCUGUCCUUCCCUUACUGAGAGGAACAACAAAACAGCUCACUGAAAACAACAGCUGGCCACAAGAGGAACCUGCCAUUAAUCAACCCAUUACAGAGCAACAUUUCAAACAAAGCUUAAAAAAGAAUAAAUAAAAAUAAAAUGUACAUACUAUCAAAUGGCAUUAAAUACUAAAAUAGCCUUCUACCUUAA